Molecule: ribosomal RNA, 244 nt
Filed under: uncultured bacterium
Lineage: Bacteria
Description: partial 16S ribosomal RNA
Rfam family: Bacterial small subunit ribosomal RNA
Source: RNAcentral
GAUCCUGGCUCAGAUUGAACGCUGGCGGCAGGCCUAACACAUGCAAGUCGGACGGUAGCACAGAGAGCUUGCUCUCGGGUGACGAGUGGCGGACGGGUGAGUAAUGUCUGGGGAUCUGCCCGAUAGAGGGGGAUAACCACUGGAAACGGUGGCUAAUACCGCAUAACGUCGCAAGACCAAAGAGGGGGACCUUCGGGCCUCUCACUAUCGGAUGAACCCAGAUGGGAUUAGCUAGUAGGCGGGG